This 253-nucleotide ribosomal RNA is filed under the name uncultured bacterium. Its description in RNAcentral is "partial 16S ribosomal RNA". It matches the Rfam family "Bacterial small subunit ribosomal RNA", at positions 524 to 776 of the family's 1533-position model. The record is from RNAcentral.
UACGUAGGGUGCGAGCGUUAAUCGGAAUCACUGGGCGUAAAGGGUGCGUAGGCGGGUCUUUAAGUCAGGGGUGAAAUCCUGGAGCUCAACUCCAGAACUGCCUUUGAUACUGAAGAUCUUGAGUUCGGGAGAGGUGAGUGGAACUGCGAGUGUAGAGGUGAAAUUCGUAGAUAUUCGCAAGAACACCAGUGGCGAAGGCGGCUCACUGGCCCGGUACUGACGCUGAGGUGCGAAAGCGUGGGGAGCAAACAGG